RNAcentral lists this long non-coding RNA (1170 nucleotides) under Salmo trutta (river trout). Its description in RNAcentral is "lncRNA (ENSSTUG00000045493.1)". Lineage: Eukaryota; Metazoa; Chordata; Actinopteri; Salmoniformes; Salmonidae. The record is from RNAcentral.
AUUGACAAAGACACAUUUCAUUUAAGAAUAAAGCCUUUAUUUUGUCUUCCCACAGUUCAAGUUUGUCAGAACCACCCAAUGACGUGGUGGCAUGUAGAGUGAAUGAGAGAGGUAGACCAUCAGUUCCAUCCACCCAGUCAUCACCUUGUACAGUUCCAUCCACCCUGUACAGUUCCAUCCACCCAGUCAUCACCCUGUACAGUUCCAUCCACCCAGUCAUCCACCCUGUACAGUUCCAUCCACCCAGUCAUCCACCCUGUACAGUUCCAUCCACCCAGUCAUCAGCCUGUACAGUUCCAUCCACCCUGUACAGUUCCAUCCACCCAGUACAGUUCCAUCCACCCAGUCAUCAGCCUGUACAGUUCCAUCCACCCAGUCAUCAGCCUGUACAGUUCCAUCCACCCUGUCAUCAGCCUGUACAGUUCCAUCCACCCACCCAGUCAUCCACCCUGUACAGUUCCAUCCACCCAGUCAUCAGCCUGUACAGUUCCAUCCACCCAGUCAUCACCCUGUACAGUUCCAUCCACCCAGUCAUCACCCUGUACAGUUCCAUCCACCCAGUCAUCCGCCCUGUACAGUUCCAUCCACCGUCAUCCGCCUGUACAGUUCCAUCCACCGUCAUCCGCCUGUACAGUUCCAUCCACCCAGUCAUCCACCCUGUACAGUUCCAUCCACCCUGUACAGUUCCAUCCACCCUGUACAGUUCCAUCCACCCUGUACAGUUCCAUCCACCCAGUCAUCAGCCUGUACAGUUCCAUCCACCCAGUCAUCCACCCUGUACAGUUCCAUCCACCCUGUACAGUUCCAUCCACCCUGUACAGUUCCAUCCACCCAGUCAUCAGCCUGUACAGUUCCAUCCACCCAGUCAUCAGCCUGUACAGUUCCAUCCACCCAGUCAUCAGCCUGUACAGUUCCAUCCACCCAGUCAUCAGCCUGUACAGUUCCAUCCACCCAGUCAUCAGCCUGUACAGUUCCAUCCACCCAGUCAUCAGCCUGUACAGUUCCAUCCACCCAGUCAUCCACCCUGUACAGUUCCAUCCACCCUGUACAGUUCCAUCCACCCUGUACAGUUCCAUCCACCCAGUCAUCAGCCUGUACAGUUCCAUCCACCCAGUCAUCAGCCUGUACAGUUCCAUCCACCCUGUAUUACUCAAUCUUCUCAACACAUAA